This 65-nucleotide transfer RNA is filed under the name Chloeia sp. r EEE-2022. RNAcentral describes it as "tRNA-Met". The record is from RNAcentral. Lineage: Eukaryota; Metazoa; Annelida; Polychaeta; Eunicida; Amphinomidae.
AGCGAAAUAAGCUAAAUCCAGGCUAUUGGGCUCAUGCCCCAAAAGUGCAUUCAUUGCUUUCGCCU